AACGAACGCUGGCGGCAGGCUUAACACAUGCAAGUCGAGCGCCCCGCAAGGGGAGCGGCAGACGGGUGAGUAACGCGUGGGAACGUACCUUUUGGUUCGGAACAACUCCGGGAAACUGGAGCUAAUACCGGAUAAGCCCUAACGGGGAAAGAUUUAUCGCCGAAAGAUCGGCCCGCGUCUGAUUAGCUAGUUGGUGAGGUAACGGCUCACCAAGGCGACGAUCAGUAGCUGGUCUGAGAGGAUGAUCAGCCACACUGGGACUGAGACACGGCCCAGACUCCUACGGAAGGCAGCAGUGGGGAAUAUUGGACAAUGGGCGCAAGCCUGAUCCAGCCAUGCCGCGUGAGUGAUGAAGGCCUUAGGGUUGUAAAGCUCUUUUGUCCGGGAAGAUAAUGACUGUACCGGAAGAAUAAGCCCCGGCGAACGUCG
RNAcentral lists this ribosomal RNA (429 nucleotides) under uncultured bacterium. RNAcentral describes it as "partial 16S ribosomal RNA". It matches the Rfam family "Bacterial small subunit ribosomal RNA", at positions 29 to 505 of the family's 1533-position model. The record is from RNAcentral.